RNAcentral lists this ribosomal RNA (465 nucleotides) under uncultured bacterium. RNAcentral describes it as "partial 16S ribosomal RNA". It matches the Rfam family "Bacterial small subunit ribosomal RNA", at positions 29 to 507 of the family's 1533-position model. The record is from RNAcentral.
ACGAACGCUGGCGGCGCGCCUAACACAUGCCAGUCGAACGAGCGAGAGAGAGCUUGCUUUCUCGAGCGAGUGGCGAACGGGUGAGUAACGCGUGAGGAACCUGCCUCAAAGAGGGGGACAACAGUUGGAAACGACUGCUAAUACCGCAUAAGCCCACGGCUCGGCAUCGAGCAGGGGGAAAAGGAGCAAUCCGCUUUGAGAUGGCCUCGCGUCCGUUUAGCUAGUUGGUGAGGUAACGGCCCACCAAGGCGACGAUCGGUAGCCGGACUGAGAGGUUGAACGGCCACAUUGGGACUGAGACACGGCCCAGACUCCUACGGGAGGCAGCAGUGGGGAAUAUUGCACAAUGGGGGAAACCCUGAUGCAGCGACGCCGCGUGGAGGAAGAAGGUCUUCGGAUUGUAAACUCCUGUUGUUGGGGAAGAUAAUGACGGUACCCAACAAGGAAGUGACGGCUAACUACGUG